RNAcentral lists this ribosomal RNA (492 nucleotides) under uncultured bacterium. RNAcentral describes it as "partial 16S ribosomal RNA". It matches the Rfam family "Bacterial small subunit ribosomal RNA", at positions 29 to 507 of the family's 1533-position model. The record is from RNAcentral.
AGUGAACGCUGGCGGUAGGCCUAACACAUGCAAGUCGAACGGCAGCACCGUAAGAGCUUGCUCUUACGGGUGGCGAGUGGCGGACGGGGGAGGAAUACAUCGGAAUCUACUUUUUCGUGGGGGAUAACGUAGGGAAACUUACGCCAAUACCGCAUACGACCUACGGGUGAAAGCUGGGGAUCUUCGGACCUUGCGCGAUUGAAUGAGCCGAUGUCGGAUUAGCUAGUUGGCGGGGUAAAGGCCCACCAAGGCGACGAUCCGUAGCUGGUCUGAGAGGAUGAUCAGCCACACUGGAACUGAGACACGGUCCAGACUCCUACGGGAGGCAGCAGUGGGGAAUAUUGGACAAUGGGCGCAAGCCUGAUCCAGCCAUACCGCGUGGGUGAAGAAGGCCUUCGGGUUGUAAAGCCCUUUUGUUGGGAAAGAAAAGCAGCAGGUUAAUACCCCGCUGUUCUGACGGUACCCAAAGAAUAAGCACCGGCUAACUUCGUG